This 829-nucleotide ribosomal RNA is filed under the name uncultured bacterium. Its description in RNAcentral is "bacterial SSU rRNA". It matches the Rfam family "Bacterial small subunit ribosomal RNA", at positions 33 to 856 of the family's 1533-position model. The record is from RNAcentral.
ACGCUAGCGGCAGGCUUAAUACAUGCAAGUCGAGGGGCAGCGCGGGUAGCAAUACCUGGCGGCGACCGGCAAACGGGUGCGGAACACGUACGCAACCUCCCCGGAACAGGUGAAUAGCCUUGCGAAAGUAAGAUUAAUACACCGUACCAUAUAGUUGUGGCAUCACGAUUAUAUUAUAGGUAGCAAUACCGGUUCCGGAUGGGCGUGCGCCUGAUUAGGUAGUUGGCGGGGUAACGGCCCACCAAGCCUUCGAUCAGUAACUGGUGUGAGAGCACGACCAGUCACACGGGCACUGAGACACGGGCCCGACUCCUACGGGAGGCAGCAGUAAGGAAUAUUGGUCAAUGGACGCAAGUCUGAACCAGCCAUGCCGCGUGAAGGAUGAAGGCCCUCUGGGUUGUAAACUUCUUUUAUCUGGGACGAAACAAGGGAAUUCUUUCCCUCUUGACGGUACCAGAGGAAUAAGCACCGGCUAACUCCGUGCCAGCAGCCGCGGUAAUACGGAGGGUGCAAGCGUUAUCCGGAUUUACUGGGUUUAAAGGGUGCGUAGGUGGGCUGAUAAGUCAGUGGUGAAAUCUUCAAGCUUAACUUGGAAACUGCCAUUGAUACUAUUAGUCUUGAAUAUCCCGGAGGUAAGCGGAAUAUGUCAUGUAGCGGUGAAAUGCUUAGAUAUGACAUAGAACACCCAUUGCGAAAGCAGCUUACUACAGGAUUAUUGACACUGAGGCACGAAAGCGUGGGGAUCAAACAGGAUUAGAUACCCUGGUAGUCCACGCCCUAAACGAUGGAUACUCGACAUCAGCGAUACACAGUUGGUGUCUGAGCGAAA